CAUUGCCUCAGAGACAAUUUCUCUGAUUGCUAAUCAUCUUAACUACCAGUCACUGUCAUAUUACUCUAUUUUAUUUUCCUCAUAGUAUUUAUCAUUGUUCAAAUAUCUUAUUUUGUUUACUUAGUAUCUGUCUCCUCCUCAUUAGAAUAAAAGCUCCUUGAGAACUGCAUUGUCUUGUUGCUCACUUCUGUUUCCAAGAACGAAGCACAGGACUGCCUAAAAUAUAUUACUGAAUAAAGGAUGAAUGGAGAACAUCUUCACAAGGCAUUGAAAACUGUGUCUAAUUUUAAGUCCUCUAAUACUAUUCAUCUCUUUUUUGGACAGGCUCCAUAGUGUCAAUGUCACUUUUUAAAGUGUAAUGUCCAGAUAUGUAUACAACUGUCCAAGUGUUAUUUGACCAAGUACAAAACACAGCAGGAAUAUAACAUUUUUCAAUAAAUGAUACUUAAGAUUAUAGUAUCUCUUUUUUGACAACUGUGUUACUCUAUUGGCUUCUAUUACAUGUCAGUCAACUAAAAUCUUCUUUCAAAAAAUAAGUGUUUCUAGUCUUUUCUCUUGUCCGCCAUCCUAUGUGCGGUUGGAUUUGCUCCUCGCCAUGUCUUCUCACAAGACUUUCAGGAUCAAGAGAUUCCUGGCCAAGAAACAAAAGCAGAAUCGUCCCAUUCCCCAGUGGAUUCAAAUAAAAACUGGUAAUAAAAUCAGGUACAACUCUAAGAGAAGACAUUGGAGAAGAACCAAGCUGGGUCUAUAAGGAGCCUCACAUAUGAAGUGGCCC
This is an RNA transcript of Aethalodelphis obliquidens (Pacific white-sided dolphin), 775 nucleotides long. It is a transcript of the gene named 60S ribosomal protein L39 pseudogene, with no coding region annotated. Lineage: Eukaryota; Metazoa; Chordata; Mammalia; Artiodactyla; Delphinidae. The record is from RefSeq and is a predicted model, not a curated record. The transcript has a single exon.